AAACGAAAGAAGGAAAAAAGGGAGGGUUCCAAAAAAAAAAAGAAAAAAAAGAAAAGAAAAAUCUUCCUUCUUCUUCUUGUAUUUGCCCUUGCUGUAUGUGUUGUGUUUGUUGUAUUGUGCAUAUUGUAAGCUGAAUUGUGUUGUU
RNAcentral lists this non-coding RNA (145 nucleotides) under Palpitomonas bilix. The record is from RNAcentral.